Molecule: ribosomal RNA, 774 nt
Filed under: uncultured Neocallimastigales
Lineage: Eukaryota; Fungi; Neocallimastigomycota; Neocallimastigomycetes; Neocallimastigales
Description: partial large subunit ribosomal RNA
Rfam family: Eukaryotic large subunit ribosomal RNA
Source: RNAcentral
CAUAGCGACUAUCGUGGCAUAUCAAUAAGCGGAGGAAAAGAAACUAACUAGGAUUCCCUUAGUAACGGCGAGUGAAGCGGGAAGAGCUCAAAUUUGAAAUCUUCAAGGUUUUACCUUGACGAAUUGUAGUUUAAAGAAGUGUUUUCUGUUGGAGUUUUGGUAAAAGUUUUUUGGAAUAGGACAUCAUAGAGGGUGAGAAUCCCGUAUUUGACCAUUAUUUCCAGCUUUGUGAUACACUUUCAAAGAGUCGGAUUGUUUGGGAAUGCAGUCCAAAAUGGGUGGUAAAUUUCAUCUAAAGCUAAAUAUUGGCGAGAGACCGAUAGCGAACAAGUACCGUGAGGGAAAGAUGAAAAGAACUUUGAAAAGAGAGUUAAACAGUACGUGAAAUUGUCAAAAGGGAAGCGUUUGACACCAGUGUUGUUUUCUCGAAAAUCAAUUAAAAAGAGUUGGAUUUUGUAUUGUUAAGACCUUAUCAGCUUACUGUACUUUUUUCUUGCUCUUUUUAAUGCACUUUUCGUUUAACAAGUCAACAUCAAUUUCUUUUGUUGUAAAAGGGUCAUUGGAAGGUGGCUUUCACUUCGGUGAAAGUGUUUAUAGCCUUUGGCUUCUACAAUCGGAGAGAUUGAGGUCUGCAGCGUAGAUCCUUCGGGGUUAGAUACGUAGAUGCUAAGUUAUAGUUUUUUAUAGACAACUUGUUGACUAUGAUUAAUCAUGUAGCUUACUCGUUUACGCUAUUUUACCUACGCUUAGGAUGUUGAUAGUCACAGCGUGUAC